This 253-nucleotide ribosomal RNA is filed under the name uncultured bacterium. RNAcentral's name for it is "partial 16S ribosomal RNA". It matches the Rfam family "Bacterial small subunit ribosomal RNA", at positions 524 to 776 of the family's 1533-position model. The record is from RNAcentral.
UACGGAGGGUGCAAGCAUUAAUCGGAUUUAUUGGGCGUAAAGGGCGCGUAGGUGAUUUGGUAAGUCAGAUGUGAAAUUCCACAGCUCAACUGUGGAGCGGCAUGUGAAACUACUGAGAUAGAGGGUAGACGGAGAAAACGGAAUUCCACAAGUAGCGGUGAAAUGCGGAGAUAUGUGGAGGAAGACCGGUGGCGAAGGCGGUUUUCUUGUCUAUACCUGACACUGAGGCGCCAGAGCAAGGCGAGCAAACAGC